AAACUUAAUACCAAAAAGAUAAAUAAUCCAAUUAAUAAUUGGGCAAAUGAAUUAAACAGACACUUCUCAAAGGAAGAAAUACAAAUGGACAAUAAAUAUAUUAAAAAAAUAUUCAACAUCUUUACUGAUGAGGGAAAUGCAAGUUAAAACUACACUGUGAUCUCGUCUCACACCAGUCAGAAUAUCAGUCAUCAAUAAUACAAACAAUAAUGACUGUGGAGGACAGGAUGUGGAGAAAAAAGAACACUUUUAUACUGGUUGUUGGAUUGUAAAUUAAUACACCACUAUGGAAAUCAGUAUGGAGAUUCCUCAAAACACCUGGCAUGGAACCACCAUAUGAUCUAGCUAUUCAUCAUUCCUUGGUAUUUAUCCUAAAGAACUGAAGUUAUCAUACUAUAGUGAUACAUGCAUACUCAUGCUUAUAGCAGCAAAAUUUAUAAUGGACAAAUUAUGGAACCAGCCCAGGUGGGUUCAUCAUCAACCAAUGAAUGGAUAAAGAAAAUGUAGUAUAUAUAUACACAAUGGAGUUUUAUUUGGCCAUAAGGAAAAAUGAAAUUAUGUAACUUGCAGGAAAAUGUAACAUAACUUGAGAACGUUAUGCUAAGCAAAAUAAGCACAACUCAGAAUGUCAAGGGUCAUAUAUUUUCUCCCAUAUGUGGAAGCUAGAGAGGAAAAAGGAAAUGAAAGUUGGGGGAGUGGUCAUGAAAAGGGAAAGGGCAUAGGUAGAAUAAAGGAAAGGGACCCGGAGAUGGGAAGAGGAUAAGGAGGGGAGAAAUGCUGGGGAGUGAUAUUAGACAAAUUAUAUCGUUAUAUUGUAUGCAUGUACGAAUAUGUAACAACAAAUCCCAUCGUUGUGUGCAACUAUAAUACUCCAAUAAAAAAAGUGGAAAGAAAAAAGAUCUCUUAAGAAAAAAGUUUAUUGUGCUAAAGGCAUCACUCCAUAUGUUUUAUAGAGAGAAUGAAGAAGUAUUUAAAUGAAAGUCAAUUAACAGAACUUUUACUGUACAUUUGAAAAUUACAUUUUCACUAAUAACCAGUUUACUAAAUGGGAUUCUCAC
This 1058-nucleotide long non-coding RNA is filed under the name Marmota monax (woodchuck). The record is from RNAcentral. Lineage: Eukaryota; Metazoa; Chordata; Mammalia; Rodentia; Sciuridae.